RNAcentral lists this ribosomal RNA (458 nucleotides) under uncultured bacterium. Its description in RNAcentral is "partial 16S ribosomal RNA". It matches the Rfam family "Bacterial small subunit ribosomal RNA", at positions 338 to 795 of the family's 1533-position model. The record is from RNAcentral.
CCUACGGGAGGCAGCAGUGAGGAAUAUUGGUCAAUGGGCGGAAGCCUGAACCAGCCAAGUCGCGUGAGGGAAUAAGGCCCUAUGGGUUGUAAACCUCUUUUGUCGGGGAGCAAAAGCCGGACGUGUCCGGCUGUGAGAGUACCCGAAGAAAAAGCAUCGGCUAACUCCGUGCCAGCAGCCGCGGUAAUACGGAGGAUGCGAGCGUUAUCCGGAUUUAUUGGGUUUAAAGGGUGCGCAGGCGGAUUUUUAAGUUAGCGGUAAAAUCGUGGGGCUCAACCCCAUCCAGCCGUUGAAACUGGGGAUCUAGAGUGUGCGAGAGGUAUGCGGAAUGCGUGGUGUAGCGGUGAAAUGCAUAGAUAUCACGCAGAACCCCGAUUGCGAAGGCAGCAUACCGGUGCACAACUGACGCUCAGGCACGAAAGCGUGGGUAUCGAACAGGAUUAGAUACCCCAGUAGUC